GAUGAACGCUGGCGGCGUGCCUAAUACAUGCAAGUCGAGCGAAUGGACGAGAAGCUUGCUUCUCUGAUGUUAGCGGCGGACGGGUGAGUAACACGUGGAUAACCUACCUAUAAGACUGGGAUAACUUCGGGAAACCGGAGCUAAUACCGGAUAAUAUUUUGAACCGCAUGGUUCAAAAGUGAAAGACGGUCUUGCUGUCACUUAUAGAUGGAUCCGCGCUGCAUUAGCUAGUUGGUAAGGUAACGGCUUACCAAGGCAACGAUGCAUAGCCGACCUGAGAGGGUGAUCGGCCACACUGGAACUGAGACACGGUCCAGACUCCUACGGGAGGCAGCAGUAGGGAAUCUUCCGCAAUGGGCGAAAGCCUGACGGAGCAACGCCGCGUGAGUGAUGAAGGUCUUCGGAUCGUAAAACUCUGUUAUUAGGGAAGAACAUAUGUGUAAGUAACUGUGCACAUCUUGACGGUACCUAAUCAGAAAGCCACGGCUAACUACGUG
Molecule: ribosomal RNA, 497 nt
Filed under: uncultured bacterium
Lineage: Bacteria
Description: partial 16S ribosomal RNA
Rfam family: Bacterial small subunit ribosomal RNA
Source: RNAcentral